UACGAAGGGGGCUAGCGUUGUUCGGAAUUACUGGGCGUAAAGCGCACGUAGGCGGAUAUUUAAGUCAGGUGUGAAAGCCCCGGGCUCAACCUGGGAAUUGCAUUUGAGACUGAAUAGCUAGGGUGCGGAAGAGGGAAGCGGAAUUCCUGGUGUAGCGGUGAAAUGCGCAGAUAUCAGGAGGAACACCUAUUGCGAAGGCAGCUCGCUGGGACGUAACUGACGCUGAGACGCGAAAGCGUGGGGAGCAAACAGG
RNAcentral lists this ribosomal RNA (253 nucleotides) under uncultured bacterium. Its description in RNAcentral is "partial 16S ribosomal RNA". It matches the Rfam family "Bacterial small subunit ribosomal RNA", at positions 524 to 776 of the family's 1533-position model. The record is from RNAcentral.